GAUGAACGCUGGCGGCGUGCCUAAUACAUGCAAGUCGAGCGAGCAGACGAGGAGCUUGCUCCUCUGACGUUAGCGGCGGACGGGUGAGUAACACGUGGAUAACCUACCUAUAAGACUGGGAUAACUUCGGGAAACCGGAGCUAAUACCGGAUAAUAUAUUGAACCGCAUGGUUCAAUAGUGAAAGACGGUUUUGCUGUCACUUAUAGAUGGAUCCGCGCCGCAUUAGCUAGUUGGUAAGGUAACGGCUUACCAAGGCAACGAUGCGUAGCCGACCUGAGAGGGUGAUCGGCCACACUGGAACUGAGACACGGUCCAGACUCCUACGGGAGGCAGCAGUAGGGAAUCUACCGCAAUGGGCGAAAGCCUGACGGAGCAACGCCGCGUGAGUGAUGAAGGUCUUCGGAUCGUAAAACUCUGUUAUUAGGGAAGAACAAAUGUGUAAGUAACUAUGCACGUCUUGACGGUACCUAAUCAGAAAGCCACGGCUAACUACGUG
RNAcentral lists this ribosomal RNA (497 nucleotides) under uncultured bacterium. RNAcentral's name for it is "partial 16S ribosomal RNA". It matches the Rfam family "Bacterial small subunit ribosomal RNA", at positions 28 to 507 of the family's 1533-position model. The record is from RNAcentral.